AACGAACGCUGGCGGCAUGCCUAACACAUGCAAGUCGAACGAGACCUUCGGGUCCAGUGGCGCACGGGUGCGUAACGCGUGGGAACCUGCCCUUAGGUUCGGAAUAACUCCCCGAAAGGGGUGCUAAUACCGGAUAAUGUCUUCGGACCAAAGAUUUAUCGCCUUUGGAUGGUCCCGCGUUGGAUUAGCUAGUUGGUACGGUAAAAGCCUACCAAGGCGACGAUCCAUAGCUGGUUUGGGAGGAUGAUCAGCCACACUGAGACUGAGACACGGCCCAGACUCCUACGGGAGGCAGCAGUGGGGAAUAUUGGACAAUGGGCGAAAGCCUGAUCCAGCAAUGCCGCGUGAGUGAUGAAGGCCUUAGGGUUGUAAAGCUCUUUUACCCGGGAUGAUAAUGACAGUACCGGGAGAAUAAGCUCCGGCUAACUCCGUG
Molecule: ribosomal RNA, 433 nt
Filed under: uncultured bacterium
Lineage: Bacteria
Description: partial 16S ribosomal RNA
Rfam family: Bacterial small subunit ribosomal RNA
Source: RNAcentral